This is a microRNA precursor of Theobroma cacao (cacao), 152 nucleotides long. Lineage: Eukaryota; Viridiplantae; Streptophyta; Magnoliopsida; Malvales; Malvaceae. The record is from Rfam.
AAGAUAAGAGCCAGUCAGGAUAGCCAAAGGAGACUGCCCAGAAACCAUUAAAAGGACUCUGAUGAGAUUUAUCAGAUUCAGCUUUUCUUUCCUCAAAAUCCUUUUUGGAUAUAGGCAAGUCAUCCUUGGCUACCCAACAAGACUCUUAAUCU